AAUCCGUGGUGUGGACAAUCACAUUCAUACUCCUUAAAAUGCUCCCAAUCUUCAUAAAAAGAUUCAACCGGACUUUACUGGAACACUUUGGAUUUUUUUUCUCAGCAAGU
Small nucleolar RNA from Eutrema salsugineum, 110 nucleotides. It matches the Rfam family "Plant small nucleolar RNA R71". From Rfam's summary of the family: R71 is a member of the C/D box family of snoRNAs containing the C (UGAUGA) and D (CUGA) box motifs. Multiple nearly identical copies of this snoRNA have been identified in Arabidopsis, and it is thought to function as a 2'-O-ribose methylation guide for 18S ribosomal RNA. Lineage: Eukaryota; Viridiplantae; Streptophyta; Magnoliopsida; Brassicales; Brassicaceae. The record is from Rfam.